UGAGAUGCAAGCAGUAUUACUUCUGAGUUCAUUGCCUGAUAGUUGGAAGACUUUUGUGGUAUCACUUAGUAACUCCGCUCCGAACGGUGUGUUGGAACUUACUCUAGUUAAAGAUAGUUUGUUUAAUAAAGAAAUAAGAAGAAAAGACUUGGGUAGAAAUGAUGCACAGGCUCUUAUUACAGAGAACAGAGGUAGGAGUAAAAACAGAGAUCCUAAGGAACGUGGUAAUUUCAGAAGUCAGUCGAAGACAAGAGGAAAGGUCAAAUGCUUUUAUUGUGACAAAGAGGGUUAUAUAAAGAAACAUUACAUGGCUUGGAAAAUUAAAUUGAAAGAGGAGAAAAAUCAGAAGAAGACUGAUCAGAAUACAGCAGCUAGCGCUUCAAAAGAAGAAGAAGAAGCAGUGGCAGCAGUAUUUUUCGCUAAAGAUGAGCAGUGUUGUCAUGUUGCAGAUUCAUUUGUUGAAUGGGUUAUUGACUCAGUGGUUUCUUACCAUGUUACUCCAAAACGGGAGUUCUUCACUUUAUACAAAUCAGGUAACUUUGGCAAAGUGAAGAUGGGUAAUAACAGUUUUGCUAGUAUUGCGGGAAUUGGUGACAUCUGUCUUCAAACAGAUAUUGGAAGUAGCUUGACAUUGAAGAAUGUGCGACAUGUUCCUGACAUGCGCUUGAAUUUGCUAUCUACACAUGCAUUUGAUGAAGCACGGUAUGACAGUUAUUUUGGCAAUGGAAGAUGGAAACUAACAAAAGGGUCAAUGAUAUUUGUUAGAGGAAAGGUUUGUUACACACUUUACAAGAUACAAAGUAAAGGUGUGUAGUGAAGCGGUAAAUGCAACUGAAAGUGAUUCUUCACUAGACUUGUAGCAUAAGCAGUUAGCUCACAUGAGCGAGAAAGGAUUACAUAUUUUGGCAAAGAAGUCUCUCAUUCCUUUUACCAAAA
RNAcentral lists this long non-coding RNA (936 nucleotides) under Olea europaea subsp. europaea. The record is from RNAcentral. Lineage: Eukaryota; Viridiplantae; Streptophyta; Magnoliopsida; Lamiales; Oleaceae.